CUGACGAGUCCCAAAUAGGACGAAACGCGCGUC
Schistosoma rodhaini is the source of this 33-nucleotide non-coding RNA. The record is from Rfam. NCBI's taxonomy places the organism in Eukaryota, Metazoa, Platyhelminthes, Trematoda, Strigeidida, Schistosomatidae.